This 457-nucleotide ribosomal RNA is filed under the name uncultured bacterium. RNAcentral's name for it is "bacterial SSU rRNA". It matches the Rfam family "Bacterial small subunit ribosomal RNA", at positions 340 to 786 of the family's 1533-position model. The record is from RNAcentral.
UACGGAAGGCAGCAGUGGGGAAGUAUUGCACAAUGGGCGAAAGCCUGAUGCAGCUAUGCCGCGUGUAUGAAGAAGGCCUUAGGGUUGUAAAGUACUUUCAUCGGGGAGGAAAAAACAAAACUAAUAAUUUUAUUUCUUGACGUUACCCGAAAAAGAAGCACCGGCUAACUCCGUGCCAGCAGCCGCGGUAAUACGGAGGGUGCUAGCGUUAAUCAGAAUUACUGGGCGUAAAGAGCACGUAGGUGGUUUUUUAAGUCAGAUGUGAAAUCCCUGGGCUUAACCUAGGAACUGCAUUUUGAAACUGAAAUACUAGAGUAUCGUAGAGGGAGGUAGAAUUCUAGGUGUAGCGGUGAAAUGCGUAGAUAUCUGGAGGAAUACCUGUGGCGAAAGCGGCCUCCUAAACGAAUACUGACACUGAGGGUGCGAAAGCGUGGGGAGCAAACAGGGAUUAGAUACC